CUACGGGUUGCUCCAGUGGGGAAUAUUGCACAAUGGGGGAAACCCUGAUGCAGCAACGCCGCGUGGGGGAUGACGCAUUUCGGUGUGUAAACUCCUUUUAACGAGGAAGAAAUUUGACGGUACUCGUUGAAUAAGCACCGGCUAACUCCGUGCCAGCAGCCGCGGUAAUACGGAGGGUGCAAGCGUUACUCGGAAUCACUGGGCGUAAAGGACGCGUAGGCUGUUUGGUAAGUCAGGGGUGAAAUCCUGCGGCUUAACCGCAGAACUGCUCUUGAAACUAUCAAACUAGAGUGAGGGAGAGGCAGAUGGAAUUGGUGGUGUAGGGGUAAAAUCCGUAGAGAUCACCAGGAAUACCGAUUGCGAAGGCGAUCUGCUGGAACUUAACUGACGCUGAGGCGUGAAAGCGUGGGGAGCAAACAGGAUUAGAUACCCGAGUAGUC
Molecule: ribosomal RNA, 440 nt
Filed under: uncultured bacterium
Lineage: Bacteria
Description: partial 16S ribosomal RNA
Rfam family: Bacterial small subunit ribosomal RNA
Source: RNAcentral